AGUGUUGACUUUGUCAAAGAAGUUCGUAUAUUCAAUCUUGCCUUCUUCGGAGGGCUAUGGUGCUAAACGACUGUGAUGAAGCGGUAAGGAAGGGGUCUUCAAGUGAUCCCCACCUCCACCAUAAGUAUACCUCAGGGUGACUUGGACUACCGGAGCGAGUGGCAUAAGCAAGAGCUACGCGUGGUGGUCAACAGGAAAUCCUAGCUCGAAAUGCGAAGGGGUAUAUUUAUGAUGGGGGUGCAAGGGUUCGACUUGCUGAUGGAGUUAGGUUUUGUACUCGGCAUGAUACCGCCGUUAUCGGGUCAAAAGUGUAGUUGCAAACGACAACAACGCUAAGGCUUUCGCUCUCGCUGCCUGAUGGCGGUGCGGGUUAGCCGCUCCAAGUCCUCCUGGUUAGCACCUUGAGGCGGGGUCCCUGGGUACCUGGCAACAGAAACCCAGGAAU
This 445-nucleotide transfer-messenger RNA is filed under the name Rhizobium sp. MHM7A. It matches the Rfam family "Alphaproteobacteria transfer-messenger RNA". From Rfam's summary of the family: Bacterial tmRNA, also known as 10Sa RNA or SsrA, is named for its dual tRNA and mRNA-like properties. Its role is to liberate the mRNA from a stalled ribosome. The record is from RNAcentral. Lineage: Bacteria; Pseudomonadati; Pseudomonadota; Alphaproteobacteria; Hyphomicrobiales; Rhizobiaceae.